GUGGAAGCUAUACAGGAUUCUAGUAUGGAAAAUUCAUUUUACUAUUGCUAGCAACUCUGCACAAUAAAUCUUUUAAUCGUGGUGUGCAAAUUGCCCACAACCAGGAAACAAAUUGCUUCAGAACUCAUGAUAGUCUCACUAUGCUCUUUUGAUAUAGCCACAAGGUUUUGAAAUGCUACUGAUUAGCCUCGCUAAAACCUUUUAUACCUAGUAGUAUAUUCAUCUUCAAAAGAAAGAUUAAAAUCUUCCCCUGGUUGCUUGUUUGUUUUACUGAUUCAAGUGGAGCUUGGAAGAGUCCGUAAGCGGUUCAACAAAACCCAUGUAAUGGCAUGAUAGUUAUUUUGUGUGCAAGAGCUGAAUCACAAUCCAAUUCAGAGACUACUGACAUGUUAGAAGUUGGGUGACCCGUAUUUGACAAGAAUCCCUGUAUCUCAAAUGCAUGCAUCUUAUCUCAUGCCAUCAUGGUGCCCUGUAAUGGCCAUGGCAAGAAUUGCUAUCCUUAAUUAAUCAUAACUAUGAACAUACAAAGUGUAUUUUCCUUGAAAAAAUUUUCUAAUUGAAUUUGUGAAUGAAGAUAGGAAACCAAGGGGGAAAGGUACUGGUUCUAUGAAACAGUAUAAUUAGAUUUCAAAAUUCUAUUAAUUGAUUAGUCAGAAUUUUCAAUCUUGAUUUAAAUAGUCUUCAUCUUCUAAUUAUUUGGUAUUUUGGAUAUUUGAGAUGGGGAUGUUUGGACUCUCUGAGUUUACUGAUGUACGCCUUUGCAAUUCAAUUAGGCACGAGUCCUGCAUUGUUUGUUCGAAUUUGGUAGGUGUUUGUUAAAAUUGUAUAAUUAUAAUAUAAUAUAAAAUGUGAC
RNAcentral lists this long non-coding RNA (853 nucleotides) under Olea europaea subsp. europaea. Lineage: Eukaryota; Viridiplantae; Streptophyta; Magnoliopsida; Lamiales; Oleaceae. The record is from RNAcentral.